Molecule: long non-coding RNA, 2673 nt
Organism: Gallus gallus (chicken)
Lineage: Eukaryota; Metazoa; Chordata; Aves; Galliformes; Phasianidae
Exons: 6
Source: RefSeq, a predicted model, not a curated record
GACUUGUUUGUGUAACCAUACUCACUCUUUCAAAGCCCCGCAGGCCUGAGGGGGAAAGAGCAUUUGCAACACGCUAGGAAUGUUAUGAAACCCUCACAGACGUUUUGCAAGGCCCAUCAAUUGUCUGCGCCACUCGGAGAGGAGGCUGUCUGCAGAGGAAGAUCCUCCUGAGGUGUGACGCUGACUGGAGAAGAGCAGGCACCCACGCUCCAGUACCUGAACCCUGCCAUCUAACGGCCAGAUCUCAGACAGACAGGACAAAAAAAUGCAGCUGUCCCAGAAAUCAGUGCAGCAAUUCACUGUUUAAAGUUAUCUAUCUUCUCCACCAUCUCUAUUGACUGGAAACCCAUCGUAGAUGCUUCAGAUUGAGAAGAGCUUCAUCUGAAUUGCAAGGGCCUUCAGAACAGCAGUGGGUGGACCUGGAAGAUCCUACCAUUCCCAAGGAAUGAUCUCUGGGAAUAGCAGCUGCUUUAUCAGAUUUAUCACCACCACGACCCAGCAUUUGACAGUGAAGACUGUGGCAUUAACACCGGCUAACUGCAGGUGUGAACAUCAAAGCCAACUGACAGGAUGUGAGCAACCUCCUGGGAUUAAUCCAAGUUACACAGAACACGUGUGCCUCUCCAGUCUUUCGAAUCAAGAUCAACAAGGCAAUGUUGACAGUCACCCAUUUCUAGUAACCUCCAUGGUAACAGAUGCGUUGAUUGUACCGCUCCAUUACUAGCUACGUAAUGAUGCGGGAUGGCAGGGAAUGUCACAUUACGGUAAGAUAGGUCCAAUACUUUGUUUGGACCUGGAUUUGUAUUCAUGUUUACAUGCAUUAACAAUCACAAACAUAUAAGGUCACAUUAAAUCUUAAAAAAAUAAAACAACCAAACAAAAAAAGCAUGCAUUACAGUCUCUACAAGGAACAAAAGAAAAUAACACAAGAAAAAAAAUGGAAGUGAAAUACUAUUAAGUGAGUAAAAUUGCAUUUCAUUAAAGCAUUACAAAGCGUAUGUUUAAUUUAUUUUGUAAAUAAAGAGAGGAAACAUCUCCACUAGAUAAUUAUGCAACAGAGGAAAUACCAGGCAAAAAAUAGUCUUUCCUGUCUUUACUGGGCAAUCUUACUAAGCUCUGAAGUCUAUUAUUUAUCUGUACUUAUUGUAAGUUUACUAACCAGAAAUGUUUUAAUUUGUAAAAAUUAUUCAGGACUUUUCUACAACUAAGCAGCAUUUGACAUCAUGUGCACCCCAGAUGGUCCAUUUCCAGAGCUGUCAAAAGACAAUGUCAUAUAUUCUUCCUUAAAACAAACAAACAAAAAAAUAAUAAAUCCAUAAAUAAUUUUGUGCUUCCUCCAUUAAAGAUCCUGUGUUUCUUUGGUAACUGGAGUUAUUUCAUAGAGACCUUUCUGAUCUUCGGGUAACAUCAAUUCUAUUUUUCUCAGUCUUCAGAGCUACACAUGUGCAUAAAUCUUACCAUGCAUCAAAUAACUGGUCUUUCCACCAGCUCUUCAUCCCAGUCAUACCUUUAGUUAAGACAAUCUACAGGCUAGUACAACAAAUAGAGAAGGAUCUUUUGUAAGAGGACAAACAUCACUAACUACAGAUAAGUACCUAAGAGUGUUCUUGGUCUGGCUGAGUCAGUAAGCAGGCUGGGGUGGGCAAGAGGUUGGGAGCUCACGGAAGGGACAAUCUGUGCCAUGGAAUGUCAUGCUCAGCAAUAAAAACUGCGUGUAUGUGUAGUGGGGGGGAUGUCAUUCCAAAGUAACCAUUGCUCAGAAACUGGCUGGGCACCUGUCUGCUGGUGGAUGUUGAUGAGUAAUUGAUUGUGCAUUACUUGAUGACAUUUUUUUCCCUUUGCCUUUGCUGAUUAGACCAUGUUUAUCUUGAACGAGGCUUUUUUGUUACUAUUGCUCUUCCUAUUCUCUCCUAUAACCUGCUGUAGGGCUAAGUGAGUGAGCAGCUGAUGGAUGCUUUGUUACUGACGAGGGGCAACCCACCAGAGGCUGAAAUCACUCGCAUGGAACUAUGAUUAGGAUCCCUUCAUAACGAUCUGUCCUCAGGGCACUCAUGCAGAGAACCACUUCAUCUUGUGAGGAUGAAGUGGGAACAAGAUCUCUAACACCUGUCUAUCACUGAAUUACACCUUCUUGUCCUGGGGACUGGUCCUGGGAGAUACAGGCCUGAAGGGACCUUCAGUGGGCCAGCCUAAACACCACAGAUGUCCUGCAUCCCUGCACUACACCAGAAAUAAUCUUUUCCUUCCAGGAACCACUCACUUGGUAAAUAUGGAGAAUAUUUACGGCUAGAUUUGGAAGCCAAAAGUCAUAAAGCAGACUACAGCACCUGUCCAGAAAUGAAACUCUAAUCUCCCUAAAAUCAUAGAAUGGUUUGGGUUGGAAGACCAUCUGGUUCCAACCCCCUGCCACAGACAAGGGACAUCUUCUACUAGAUCAGGAUGCCUAGGGCCCCAUCCAACCUGGCCUUGAACACCUCACGCAUGGACCAUCCACAGGUUCCCUGGGCAACCUGUUCUAGUGCCUCGCCACCCUGUGAGUAAAGAAUUUCUUCCUUAUGCCUAAUCUAAACCUACCCUUUUUUAGUUUAAACCAUUACCCUUUGUCUUGUUACUGUACUCCUUGAUAAAGAGUCACUCCCCAUCUUUCCCAUAGGACACCUCGAAGUACUGAAA